Molecule: ribosomal RNA, 352 nt
Filed under: uncultured bacterium
Lineage: Bacteria
Description: bacterial SSU rRNA
Rfam family: Bacterial small subunit ribosomal RNA
Source: RNAcentral
AAGUGGAGCAAUCCAUGAGUAAAGUGGCGACCGGGUGAGUAACACGUGACUAACCUACCUUCGAGUGGGGGAUAACCUAGGGAAACCUGGGCUAAUACCGCAUAACAUCUUUGGAGUGGAAAUUCUGGAGAUCAAAGGGGCAAUUCGCUUGAAGAGGGGGUCGCGGCUGAUUAGCUGGUUGGCGGGGUAAUGGCCCACCAAGGCUUUGAUCGGUAGCCGGCCUGAGAGGGCGCACGGCCACACUGGAACUGAAACACGGUCCAGACUCCUACGGGAGGCAGCAGUGGGGAAUUUUGCGCAAUGGGGGAAACCCUGACGCAGCAACGCCGCGUGGAGGAUGAAGUCCCUUGGG